Molecule: transfer RNA, 75 nt
Filed under: Pseudomonadota bacterium
Lineage: Bacteria; Pseudomonadati; Pseudomonadota
Also listed under: 1 other name
Description: tRNA-His
Rfam family: tRNA
About the family: Transfer RNA (tRNA) molecules are approximately 80 nucleotides in length. Their secondary structure includes four short double-helical elements and three loops (D, anti-codon, and T loops).
Source: RNAcentral
GCGGGCGUAGCUCAGCCCGGAGAGAGCACCAGGUUGUGGCCCUGGGGGUCGUGGGUUCAAAUCCCAUCGCCCGCC